This 266-nucleotide ribosomal RNA is filed under the name uncultured Staphylococcus sp. Its description in RNAcentral is "partial 16S ribosomal RNA". It matches the Rfam family "Bacterial small subunit ribosomal RNA", at positions 96 to 354 of the family's 1533-position model. The record is from RNAcentral. Lineage: Bacteria; Bacillati; Bacillota; Bacilli; Caryophanales; Staphylococcaceae.
CGGCGGACGGGUGAGUAACACGUGGAUAACCUACCUAUAAGACUGGGAUAACUUCGGGAAACCGGAGCUAAUACCGGAUAAUAUAUUUAACCGCAUGGUUCAAUAGUGAAAGACGGUUUUGCUGUCACUUAUAGAUGGAUCCGCGCCGCAUUAGCUAGUUGGUAAGGUAACGGCUUACCAAGGCAACGAUGCGUAGCCGACCUGAGAGGGUUAUCGGCCACACUGGAACUGAGACACGGUCCAGACUCCUACGGGAGGCAGCAGGC